Molecule: ribosomal RNA, 433 nt
Filed under: uncultured bacterium
Lineage: Bacteria
Description: partial 16S ribosomal RNA
Rfam family: Bacterial small subunit ribosomal RNA
Source: RNAcentral
AACGAACGCUGGCGGCAUGCCUAACACAUGCAAGUCGAACGAGACCUUCGGGUCUAUUGGCGCACGGGUGCGUAACGCGUGGGAACCUGCCCUUAUGUUCGGAAUAACUCCCCGAAAGGGGUGCUAAUACCGGAUAAUGUCUUCGGCCCAAAGAUUUAUCGCCUUUGGAUGGGCCCGCGUUGGAUUAGCUAGUUGGUAGGGUAAAAGCCUACCACGGCGACGAUCCAUAGCUGGUCUGAGAGGAUGAUCAGCCACACUGGGACUGAGACACGGCCGAGACUCCUACGGGAGGCAGCAGUGGGGAAUAUUGGACAAUGGGCGAAAGCCUGAUCCAGCAAUGCCGCGUGAGUGAUGAAGGCCUUAGGGUUGUAAAGCUCUUUUACCCGGGAUGAUAAUGACAGUACCGGGAGAAUAAGCUCCGGCUAACUCCGUG